Long non-coding RNA from Nannospalax galili (Upper Galilee mountains blind mole rat), 2606 nucleotides. RefSeq lists it as uncharacterized. The transcript has 4 exons. The record is from RefSeq and is a predicted model, not a curated record. Lineage: Eukaryota; Metazoa; Chordata; Mammalia; Rodentia; Spalacidae.
UGUCCUACAGUGAAGGGAAUCAGAACUCUGAUCACACACCCUGGAGGAGACAGAAAAGCAAAAGGUUCAAGCUCAUUCCCUAGAGCCCUUUCAGAAGGCCCCGUCCUCAAGACCUCAUCACCUCCUGAUACCAUCACCCUGAGCUUGGGAACUCAACACAGGGACAAAAUGGCUGCUGUGAGAGCUUUGAAAGAGAACGGAUCAGGACUGAAGAGUACGCUCAAGGCCAACCUUUCUGGGAUGCCAUGUUGGCAGAGAUGAAAGUGUCAGAGACAAGAGAGGCCCAGAGAGCCCCCCUGCUCCCCAAUCUAAACAACAAAAGAAGGAAUUUAACCUCAUAUCCUCGCUCUGAAAUUAGUUCUAUUGUCAAAAGAUGACAGCUGUAUCCUGAUUUCAAGAACUUCACGUUGGAAUGAAACAGCAUUUCUGAAACCAUUGUGUUACUUCAAACAGAUCUGUAAUGGCCCCUCAGCAAACCAUUUUCAGAAGAUGUGGAUGCCCGGCCUCAUGUCGGAACCAGAUCGCGCCACUGCUGAGAUGCUAUCCAGCGCCUUUCUUAUUGAGCCGUUUCCCUAGCAGAUGGUGCAAUGCUGCAGGCACACUCCUUCCUGUUAAUUACCAGCCUUUGCUGCAGAUGGAAAUGUCAGUCAGCCUCACAGGUCCUGGUUCCUGCCAUUGCCUCAGUCCAUAGCCCUCUACCUAGGAAAGAUGCUGCCAACACACACCAUGUGUUUUCUGACUGCUGACUAGGCAGGCAACAAAAAACAACUUACUUCAUGAAUAUUCAUGGAGGAAUGUUUAAAGUUCUGUUCAUCUGUGAUGCUUAUAGAUCUGCUUAAAGGGGAUUGCACCUUCCUAAGAACACUCUGCCCCUUGUUUUCCUACACCGAGGAUAUUCAAGUUACCAAAGUGAGUUGCCAUGGCAACGUAGAGAGGACCAGGGAUCCAUCCAUUUGGAGCCUCGUGUAGGCACAUCCAUUUCUGACUAAUGUUCUUCUUGUACCUUUAAGUGUCACUUAAUUAUUCUUGUCCUUCCCUAACGCACCAAUAGUUAUCAAGCUAAACUGAUUAUCUAAUAACUGUUGGUUUUCAUUAAAUGCUGAUUAUCUCAUUAGCACACACAUAACCAGUAUGAAUUCCUUCAUCUUGCUUGGUGUUUAAAACUACUAAAUCGAGAUAAAUGAAUAUCAUCAGAGUCAUUCUUUAUUCAUUAAGUAAAUUUAUUUUGCUCUCAAUGGAAAACUCUUUAGCCAUCAAAAAUGGGCAUUUUUUUUUUCUGGUUUAGAAGAAGACUAUGAGGACUCUGGGCUAGGGAAGGAGACAGCAGAUCUCCAGCAAGCAUUUGACUGAGGGUAAUUCAGAAAACUUUUCCUUAAUUGUCUUCUAAGGAUGCUGUGUUUGAAGGUAAGGCGACAAGUGGAUUUGGAGAACAUUUGCCACAGCUCAGGGCUACACUUAGCAGAGCCUUGAUUCUCCAUGAUUUCAUCCAGAGAUAGUGAGUGUGGAGGCAGCAUUUCCCCAAACAUAGGCACAAGAGCUCACAAUGGAGGCCAAUUUCUUUCUGAAGACAGAGUAACUUGCAUCUGGAAUGGCUGGAUGGUCCUGUGAUAGGCAGAGUUUAACCAGCAUCCCAAGGUAGCAGGAUGGGGCUUGAGAUAGGGAGAGUUGAAAAGUAACUUUAUAGAGUGCUAAAGGAUUUAUUUAUUUCAGAAAGUGAAGUAGUUAUUUUUUAGGUGUUUUUUUUGGGGGGGGGGGACACCUAAUUCAGAAAGUGAAUUAAUUAUUUUUUAGGCGUUCUGGGAUUUUUAGUGAGAAGAGUGUUCCCAGAGUCAGCCAAGGAGAUGUGAGAAAUUACAGGCUAGAGACCAUAGUAGGUGAAGUUGAAAGAUCCUGUGUGGGGCUCUGAGGGACAGCUAUGAAGCACAUGUCUCCUUUCCUCCUUUCAUUUUAAGAAGCAGCUGCUGUUCAUGUGCUUUUACAGGAAAAAGAAAGCAUGUUUAGAUAUUUUACAGACAGAGCAGAGCGGGUCAUUUUGAAUGCCCCCUCCUUCUGAAAAAAUGAAACAAAACAAAAUGACUACACGGUACCAGGAAGGGAAGAUGGGGAAAUAAUGCCAGGAGCUAGCAAAAGCUCUUCACCUUUGAGUUCAGAAUUCAGGGCAGCUGCAUCUCGUGAACAAUGCUUGCACCGGUGUACAGGUAAAUGUUUAACAAGCUUACCAAAAGGCAGAACACUGCUGGCGAUUAUACACACACGCAGACACAUGCAUUACGAAUUUCACCCAUAUAAAGAAUGUGUGCUACAUAAUUCAAAAAUAAGAAAAUAUGCCAUAUGAUUUAUUAUAGAUUCCGUACACACAGUUGAUUCUUAUGGAGUGUUUUCGUGGGUUUUAGCUUACCUUUUCUGACUGUAACCAGCUUCUGCUUGCAGUUCAGCUGUGAUUUGGAAAUAGAAUUGCAUUCCUUUCUGUGAACUCUUUUAUCAUGAAGCUUAUCAACAAUGCAUCUGACCUGUGAUCUAUCAUUAAGUCAUUUUCUUACUGUCAUAGAAAUUGCAUCCAUUACAUUAAAAAUCUCUCUGUUUCAUGUAUAUCUCCAUCAGAAUUC